UGGGGAAUAUUGGACAAUGGGCGAAAGCCUGAUCCAGCCAUGCCGCGUGUGUGGCGAAGGCCUUAGGGUUGUAAAGCUCUUUUGGCGGGGAAGAUAAUGACGGUACCCGCAGAAUAAGCUCCGGCUAACUUCGUGCCAGCAGCCGCGGUAAUACGAAGGGAGCUAGCGUUGUUCGGAAUCACUGGGCGUAAAGCGCACGUAGGUGGGCAGUUAAGUCAGGGGUGAAAGCCCGAGGCUCAACCUCGGAAUUGCCUCUGAUACUGGCUGUCUAGAGUUCGAGAGAGGUGAGUGGAAUUCCUAGUGUAGAGGUGAAAUUCGUAGAUAUUAGGAAGAACACCGGUGGCGAAGGCGGCUCACUGGCUCGAUACUGACACUGAGGUGCGAAAGCGUGGGGAGCAAACAGGAUUAGAUACCCAAGUAGUCCCUGAGCGGGCUGGCAAGGCGCAU
Molecule: ribosomal RNA, 447 nt
Filed under: uncultured bacterium
Lineage: Bacteria
Description: bacterial SSU rRNA
Rfam family: Bacterial small subunit ribosomal RNA
Source: RNAcentral